RNAcentral lists this long non-coding RNA (1826 nucleotides) under Salmo salar (Atlantic salmon). RNAcentral describes it as "lncRNA (ENSSSAG00000107789.1)". Lineage: Eukaryota; Metazoa; Chordata; Actinopteri; Salmoniformes; Salmonidae. The record is from RNAcentral.
UGCUGUUGGUGUCUGGUCCUUUUGAAGUUAAAGCACUAUCCAUACGAUGCAGUGUUGACUUGAUGAUGAUCAUGAUGAUGAUAUUAUGAUGAUGUCUUGACCUGAUGAUGAUGAUGAUGGUAAUGAUGAUGAUGAUGAUCACAACAAGAGAGACAACAUCAUUUUCCUUUCAGACAAUGUCUUCUUAUAAUCUUGUUGACAUGUAGGGAUGGAUGGUUCUUCCAUUUCCAGAUCUCCCAUUGUGUCAUGUAUCUAUUGUUAUAAUAAUCACUGAUCAACUUCAACUGCUGUUUCUUAGAGUUCACCCCUCUGCCUCUUUUAAAGCAGAAGUGAGUGUAUUUGGUGAGGAGGUUUUUGUCAUGGUGUAUAUCACUGUGAUACAUAAUCAUAAACAGAGCUGUUCCAGGUCUUACAGUAAUACACUGCUGAGUCUGUCUCCUCCACAUUGUUAAUAAUCAAACGAUAAUCUGAUUUAGACUGAUGAUUAGAUGUGAAUUUAGGAGAGGAGAAACCAGAGCCAUAUUCUACAGAUCUCCAACCAGUGUGGUACCACCUUAAUUAACAUGUACUCAGGGACUUCUCCUGGAACCUGUUUAUGCCAACCAGCAAUAUUAUUAACAGUCCCCAGGUUACAGUCCAUAGUGGCCGUCUCUAUUAUCAACAGUCCCCAGGUAACAGUCCAUAGUGGCCGUCUCUAUUAUCAACAGUCCCCAGGUAACAGUCCAUAGUGUCCGUCUCUAUUAUCAACAGUCCCCAGGUUACAGUCCAGUGUGGCCGUCUCUUAUCAACAGUCCCCAGGUUACAGUCCAUAGUGGCCUUCUCCAUUAUCAACAGUCCCCAGGUUACAGUCCAUAGUGGCUGUCUCUAUUAUCAACAGUCCCCAGGUUACAGUCCAGAGUGCCCGUCUAUUAUCAACAGUCCCCAGGUUACAGUCCAUAGUGGCCGUCUCUAUUAUCAACAGUCCCCAGGUUACAGUCCAGAGUGGCUGUCACUAUUAUCAACAGUCCCCAGGUUACAGUCCAGAGUGUCCGCCUCUAUUAUCAACAAUCCCCAGGUAACAAUCCAUAGUGUCUGUCUCUAUCAUCAACAGUCCCCAGGUUACAGUCCAGUGUGGCCGUCUCUAUUACCAACAGUCCCCAGGUAACAGUCAGAGUGCCUGUCUCUAUUAUCAACAGUCCCCAGGUUACAGUCCAGAGUGCCCAUCUCUAUUAUCAACAGUCCCCAGGUUACAGUCCAUAGUGGCCGUCUCUCCUUUCCUCUCUGUCACAACAGGAGGCUUCUGUGUCACCACAGUCACACCACUGACACCUGGGAAAUAAGAAGAUGACAUGUAGUAUAGAGAAACAUACAGACUCAUUAUUAAUAAAACAGGAAGUAAAACCUCCAGGAAGUCAGACUCCUUACAUGUUAGAGCAGUGAUGAGAGUGCAGAGUGUCCCCAGCAUGUUGUCAGUGUGUGGUGUGAACGGCCCUUACUGUCCAGCUGAGAGAUGAGCAGGGUUAGAGUGUGAGGAGAGGAGAGGCUGCAGAACCCACCUAUAAGGAGACAGACAGGGAGGACCAGAGGGAGGGGCCUCUACAGUUAACCUAUCACCAAGCCAGGGUAGGACCAGAGGGAGGGGCCUCUACAGUUAACCAAUCACUAUCUACUCUCAAACGUACUGUAUCUGGGUAUUCACAAGACCAACAGACAGAUUUCUAAAUAAUAACUGGAUGUAUCCUAUAUUUUCAUCAUUAUGACAUACAUUUCAAUUAGAGUCACUAUUAAACUAUAGAAAAUGGAAAUAUUUAGAGAAGACUAUUUCAUAAACAUAUUGGAUUUGUUUU